This 406-nucleotide ribosomal RNA is filed under the name uncultured bacterium. RNAcentral's name for it is "partial 16S ribosomal RNA". It matches the Rfam family "Bacterial small subunit ribosomal RNA", at positions 30 to 526 of the family's 1533-position model. The record is from RNAcentral.
AUUGCACGCUGGCGGCAUGCCUAACACAUGCAAGUCGAACGAGUGGCGGACGGGUGAGUACUGUCUGGGAAACUGCCUGAUGGAGGGGUAUAACUACUGGAAACGGUGGCUAAUACCGCAUACCAUCAGAUGUGCCCAGAUGGGUUUAGCUUGUUGGUGUGGUAACGGCUCACCAAGGCGACGAUCCCUAGCUGAUCUGAGAGGAUGACCAGCCACACUGGAACUGAGACACGGUCCAGACUCCUACGGGAGGCAGCAGUGGGGAAUAUUGCACAAUGGGCGAAAGCCUGAUGCAGCCAUGCCGCGUGUGUGAAGAAGGCUUUCGGGUUGUAAAGUACUUUCAGCGGGGAGGCGGUACCCGCAGAAGAAGCACCGGCUAACUCCGUGCCAGCAGCCGCGGUAAUUC